RNAcentral lists this ribosomal RNA (492 nucleotides) under uncultured bacterium. RNAcentral describes it as "partial 16S ribosomal RNA". It matches the Rfam family "Bacterial small subunit ribosomal RNA", at positions 29 to 507 of the family's 1533-position model. The record is from RNAcentral.
AGUGAACGCUGGCGGUAGGCCUAACACAUGCAAGUCGAACGGCAGCACAGUAAGAGCUUGCUCUUACGGGUGGCGAGUGGCGGACGGGUGAGGAAUACAUCGGAAUCUACUUUUUCGUGGGGGAUAACGUAGGGAAACUUACGCUAUUACCGCAUACGACCUACGGGUGAAAGCAGGGGAUCUUCGGACCUUGCGCGAUUGAAUGAGCCGAUGUCGGAUUAGCUAGUUGGCGGGGUAAAGGCCCACCAAGGCGACGAUCCGUAGCUGGUCUGAGAGGAUGAUCAGCCACACUGGAACUGAGACACGGUCCAGACUCCUACGGGAGGCAGCAGUGGGGAAUAUUGGACAAUGGGCGCAAGCCUGAUCCAGCCAUACCGCGUGGGUGAAGAAGGCCUUCGGGUUGUAAAGCCCUUUUGUUGGGAAAGAAAAGCAGCAGGUUAAUACCCCGCUGUUCUGACGGUACCCAAAGAAUAAGCACCGGCUAACUUCGUG